RNAcentral lists this ribosomal RNA (1556 nucleotides) under Escherichia coli. Its description in RNAcentral is "bacterial SSU rRNA". It matches the Rfam family "Bacterial small subunit ribosomal RNA". Lineage: Bacteria; Pseudomonadati; Pseudomonadota; Gammaproteobacteria; Enterobacterales; Enterobacteriaceae. The record is from RNAcentral.
UUAAAUUGAAGAGUUUGAUCAUGGCUCAGAUUGAACGCUGGCGGCAGGCCUAACACAUGCAAGUCGAACGGUAACAGGAAACAGCUUGCUGUUUCGCUGACGAGUGGCGGACGGGUGAGUAAUAUCUGGGAAACUGCCUGAUGGAGGGGGAUAACUACUGGAAACGGUAGCUAAUACCGCAUAACGUCUCAAGACCAAAGAGGGGGACCUUCGGGCCUCUUGCCAUCGGAUGUGCCCAGAUGGGAUUAGCUAGUAGGUGGGGUAACGGCUCACCUAGGCGACGAUCCCUAGCUGGUCUGAGAGGAUGACCAGCCACACUGGAACUGAGACACGGUCCAGACUCCUACGGGAGGCAGCAGUGGGGAAUAUUGCACAAUGGGCGCAAGCCUGAUGCAGCCAUGCCGCGUGUAUGAAGAAGGCCUUCGGGUUGUAAAGUACUUUCAGCGGGGAGGAAGGGAGUAAAGUUAAUACCUUUGCUCAUUGACGUUACCCGCAGAAGAAGCACCGGCUAACUCCGUGCCAGCAGCCGCGGUAAUACGGAGGGUGCAAGCGUUAAUCGGAAUUACUGGGCGUAAAGCGCACGCAGGCGGUUUGUUAAGUCAGAUGUGAAAUCCCCGGGCUCAACCUGGGAACUGCAUCUGAUACUGGCAAGCUUGAGUCUCGUAGAGGGGGGUAGAAUUCCAGGUGUAGCGGUGAAAUGCGUAGAGAUCUGGAGGAAUACCGGUGGCGAAGGCGGCCCCCUGGACGAAGACUGACGCUCAGGUGCGAAAGCGUGGGGAGCAAACAGGAUUAGAUACCCUGGUAGUCCACGCCGUAAACGAUGUCGACUUGGAGGUUGUGCCCUUGAGGCGUGGCUUCCGGAGCUAACGCGUUAAGUCGACCGCCUGGGGAGUACGGCCGCAAGGUUAAAACUCAAAUGAAUUGACGGGGGCCCGCACAAGCGGUGGAGCAUGUGGUUUAAUUCGAUGCAACGCGAAGAACCUUACCUGGUCUUGACAUCCACGGAAGUUUUCAGAGAUGAGAAUGUGCCUUCGGGAACCGUGAGACAGGUGCUGCAUGGCUGUCGUCAGCUCGUGUUGUGAAAUGUUGGGUUAAGUCCCGCAACGAGCGCAACCCUUAUCCUUUGUUGCCAGCGGUCCGGCCGGGAACUCAAAGGAGACUGCCAGUGAUAAACUGGAGGAAGGUGGGGAUGACGUCAAGUCAUCAUGGCCCUUACGACCAGGGCUACACACGUGCUACAAUGGCGCAUACAAAGAGAAGCGACCUCGCGAGAGCAAGCGGACCUCAUAAAGUGCGUCGUAGUCCGGAUUGGAGUCUGCAACUCGACUCCAUGAAGUCGGAAUCGCUAGUAAUCGUGGAUCAGAAUGCCACGGUGAAUACGUUCCCGGGCCUUGUACACACCGCCCGUCACACCAUGGGAGUGGGUUGCAAAAGAAGUAGGUAGCUUAACCUUCGGGAGGGCGCUUACCACUUUGUGAUUCAUGACUGGGGUGAAGUCGUAACAAGGUAACCGUAGGGGAACCUGCGGUUGGAUCACCUCCUUACCUUAAAGAAGC